GCGGCGGCUACACAUGCAGUCGAGCGGUAACAGAAGAAAGCUUGCUUUCUUGCUGACGAGCGGCGGACGGGUGAGUAAUGUAUGGGGAUCUGCCCGAUAGAGGGGGAUAACUACUGGAAACGGUGGCUAAUACCGCAUGACGUCUACGGACCAAAGCAGGGGCUCUUCGGACCUUGCGCUAUCGGAUGAACCCAUAUGGGAUUAGCUAGUAGGUGAGGUAAUGGCUCACCUAGGCAACGAUCUCUAGCUGGUCUGAGAGGAUGAUCAGCCACACUGGGACUGAGACACGGCCCAGACUCCUACGGGAGGCAGCAGUGGGGAAUAUUGCACAAUGGGCGCAAGCCUGAUGCAGCCCUGCCGCGUGUAUGAAGAAGGCCUUAGGGUUGUAAAGUACUUUCCGCGGGGAGGAAGGGGAUAAAGCUAAUUUCU
RNAcentral lists this ribosomal RNA (429 nucleotides) under Proteus vulgaris. RNAcentral's name for it is "bacterial SSU rRNA". It matches the Rfam family "Bacterial small subunit ribosomal RNA", at positions 39 to 468 of the family's 1533-position model. Lineage: Bacteria; Pseudomonadati; Pseudomonadota; Gammaproteobacteria; Enterobacterales; Morganellaceae. The record is from RNAcentral.